UUUGGGCAAGUGAUGAAUCUCAAUGUUUUAAAUGGGUAAUUUGCGUCUGAUGUUUCAAUUGAUGCUAUUUCACUUUGGAGAACUGAUGCCCCUU
Molecule: small nucleolar RNA, 94 nt
Organism: Quercus robur (English oak)
Lineage: Eukaryota; Viridiplantae; Streptophyta; Magnoliopsida; Fagales; Fagaceae
Source: RefSeq, a predicted model, not a curated record